This 499-nucleotide long non-coding RNA is filed under the name Zostera marina. Its description in RNAcentral is "long non-coding RNA (ZMAR_LNC000344)". Lineage: Eukaryota; Viridiplantae; Streptophyta; Magnoliopsida; Alismatales; Zosteraceae. The record is from RNAcentral.
AAACGUUGGUAUGGCAGCAGUCGCCUGAGAAUUAGAGGCAGAGACACCAAAGAUAGAUGCUGCAGAUGACUGAGAACUAGGAGCAGAUACACCAAAGGUGGAUGUUGAAGCUGGCUGAGAAUUAGAGGCAGACUCGCCAAAGAUAAAUGCUGCAGAUGAAUGAGAACUAAGAGCAUUUACACCAAAUGUAGAUGUUGAAGCUGGUUGAGAAUGAGAGGCAGACACACCAAAGACAGAUACAGCAGAUGACUGAGAACUGGGAGCAGAUACACCAGAGAUGGAUGUUGCAGCUGGCAGAGAAUUAGAGGAAGACACGCUAAAGAUAGGUACUGCAGAUGAUUGAGAAAUAGGGGCAGAUACACCAAAGGUGGAUGUUGAAGAUGACUGAGAAUUAGAGGCAGACACAUCAAAGAUAGAUGCUGCAGAUGAUUGAGAACUAGGAGCAGAUACGCCAAAGGUGGAUGUUGCAGUUGGCUGAGAAGUAGUAGAUACACCAAAG